This is a ribosomal RNA of 207 nucleotides. It matches the Rfam family "Bacterial small subunit ribosomal RNA", at positions 1 to 202 of the family's 1533-position model.
UUUAUGGAGAGUUUGAUCCUGGCUCAGGACGAACGCUGGCGGCGUGCCUAAUACAUGCAAGUCGAGCGAACAGAGAAGGAGCUUGCUCCUUUGACGUUAGCGGCGGACGGGUGAGUAACACGUGGGCAACCUACCCUAUAGUUUGGGAUAACUCCGGGAAACCGGGGCUAAUACCGAAUAAUUUAUCGUCCCUCAUGGGACAAUACU